Molecule: microRNA precursor, 60 nt
Filed under: Callorhinchus milii (elephant shark)
Lineage: Eukaryota; Metazoa; Chordata; Chondrichthyes; Chimaeriformes; Callorhinchidae
Description: Cmi-Mir-145_pre stem-loop
Rfam family: mir-145 microRNA precursor family
Source: RNAcentral
GUCCAGUUUUCCCAGGAAUCCCUUCUGUGAUGAUAAGGGGAUUCCUGGAAAUACUGUUCU